Molecule: long non-coding RNA, 536 nt
Filed under: Capsicum annuum
Lineage: Eukaryota; Viridiplantae; Streptophyta; Magnoliopsida; Solanales; Solanaceae
Description: long non-coding RNA (CANN_LNC016319)
Source: RNAcentral
CAAUAACUAAAAUCCCGACACUCCUCUGAGUGCUCCAGCUCCCCUAACACAAUAGCUCUAUCCCCUUCGUCAUUCAAGAGCCUAUGAAAAUACGACUGCCAUCUAUUCUUAAUGUGGCCGUCCUCCACCAACACUGUACCGUCCUCCCCCUUAAUGCACUUCACCUAGUCGAGGUCACGACCCUUCCUCUCCCUAGCCUUAGCAAGUCUAAACAACUUUUUUCCCCUCCUUGCUCCUGUAACCCCGCAUACAAGCUCUCAAAAGUUGCCGUCUUAGCCGCCGUAACUGCUAACUUAGCCUCCUUCCUAGCUAACUUGUACUCUUUGUUGUUUACCCGUUUCUCUUCUUCGUCCUUACUCUCAACCAACUUAGCAUAUGCCCCUUUCUUGGUCUCCACUUUCUUCUUAACCUCUUCAUUCCACCACCAAUCCCCCCGAUGAUGCUCGGCCCGGCCCCUAGAAACACCCAACACCUCACUAGCAUUCUCCCUGAUGCACCUAGCCAUCCUAUCCCACAUACUAUCCACGUCCCCCCUA